UAACAAUAGUAGAUACUUACAUUCAGUUUCGGCCUGAAAGAGGGGGGUAACCCUUGUUAA
This 60-nucleotide transfer RNA is filed under the name Opiliones sp. MT-2014. RNAcentral's name for it is "tRNA-Arg". The record is from RNAcentral. Lineage: Eukaryota; Metazoa; Arthropoda; Arachnida; Opiliones.